Molecule: microRNA precursor, 52 nt
Filed under: Cavia porcellus (domestic guinea pig)
Lineage: Eukaryota; Metazoa; Chordata; Mammalia; Rodentia; Caviidae
Description: mir-1302 microRNA precursor family
Rfam family: mir-1302 microRNA precursor family
Source: Rfam by way of RNAcentral
UUUUUAGUAUAACUAUGUGCCAUGCAAUAUUUAGUACAUACUUACACUAAAA